Molecule: transfer RNA, 73 nt
Rfam family: tRNA
About the family: Transfer RNA (tRNA) molecules are approximately 80 nucleotides in length. Their secondary structure includes four short double-helical elements and three loops (D, anti-codon, and T loops).
Source: Rfam
GCCCCGUUAGCUCAGUCGGAAGAGCGUCAGACUUUUAAUCUGAAUGCCGCGGGAUCGAGACCCGCACGGGGCG